AGCGAACGCUAGCGGCAGGCCUAACACAUGCAGUCGAACGAACUCUUCGGAGUUAGUGGCGGACGGGUGAGUAACACGUGGGAACAUGCCUUUAGGUUCGGAAUAACUCAGGGAAACUUGUGCUAAUACCGAAUGUGCCCUUCGGGGGAAAGAUUUAUAGCCCUUAGAGCGGCCCGCGUCUGAUUAGCUAGUUGGUGAGGUAACGGCUCACCAAGGCGACGAUCAGUAGCUGGGCUGAGGGGAUGGCCAGCCACACUGGGGGUGAGACACGGCCCAGACUCCUACGGGAGGGAGCAGUGGGGAAUUUUUCGCAAUGGCCGAAAGCCUGACGCAGCCAUGCCGCGUGAAUGAUGAAGGUCUUAGGAUUGUAAAAUUCUUUCACCGGGGACGAUAAUGACGGUACCCGGAGAAGAAGCCCCGGCUAACUUCGUGCCAGCCGCCGCGGUAA
This 448-nucleotide ribosomal RNA is filed under the name uncultured bacterium. Its description in RNAcentral is "partial 16S ribosomal RNA". It matches the Rfam family "Bacterial small subunit ribosomal RNA", at positions 29 to 523 of the family's 1533-position model. The record is from RNAcentral.